CUUACACAUGCAGUCGAGGGGCAGCAUUUCAGUUUGCUUGCAAACUGGAGAUGGCGACCGGCGCACGGGCUGAGUAACACGCUAUCCAACCUGCCGAUAACUCGGGGAUAGCCUUUCGAAAGAAAGAUUAAUACCCGAUGGNAUAAUCAGACCGCAUGGUCUUAUUAUUAAAGAAUUUCGGUUAUCGAUGGGGAUGCGUUCCAUUAGGCAGUUGGUGAGGUAACGGCUCACCAAACCUUCGAUGGAUAGGGGUUCUGAGAGGAAGGUCCCCCACAUUGGAACUGAGACACGGUCCAAACUCNUACGGGAGGCAGCAGUGAGGAAUAUUGGUCAAUGGGCGCAGGCCUGAACCAGCCAAGUAGCGUGAAGGAUGACUGCCCUAUGGGUUGUAAACUUCUUUUAUAUGGGAAUAAAGUUUUCCACGUGUGGAAUUUUGUAUGUACCAUAUGAAUAAGGAUCGGCUAACUCCGUGCCAGCAGCCGCGGUAAUACGGAGGAUCCGAGCGUUAUCCGGAUUUAUUGGGUUUAAAGGGAGCGUAGGUGGACAGUUAAGUCAGUUGUGAAAGUUUGCGGCUCAACCGUAAAAUUGCAGUUGAUACUGGCUGUCUUGAGUACAGUAGAGGUUGGGCGGAAUUCGUGGUGUAGCGGUGAAAUGCUUAGAUAUCACGAAGAACUCCGAUUGCGAAGGCAGCUCACUGGACUGCAACUGACACUGAUGCUCGAAAAGUGUGGGUAUCAAACAGGAUUAGAUACCCUGGUAGUCCACACAGUAAACGAUGAAUACUCGCUGUUUGCGAUAUACAGUAAGCGGCCAAGCGAAAGCAUUAAGUAUUCCACCUGGGGAGUACGCCGGCAACGGUGAAACUCAAAGGAAUUGACGGGGGCCCGCACAAGCGGAGGAACAUGUGGUUUAAUUCGAUGAUACGCGAGGAACCUUACCCGGGCUUAAAUUGCAUUUGAAUANUNUGGAAACAGNUUAGCCGCAAGGCAAAUGUGAAGGUGCUGCAUGGUUGUCGUCAGCUCGUGCCGUGAGGUGUCGGCUUAAGUGCCAUAACGAGCGCAACCCUUAUCUUUAGUUACUAACAGGUCAUGCUGAGGACUCUAGAGAGACUGCCGUCGUAAGAUGUGAGGAAGGUGGGGAUGACGUCAAAUCAGCACGGCCCUUACGUCCGGGGCUACACACGUGUUACAAUGGGGGGUACAGAAGGCAGCUACCUGGUGACAGGAUGCUAAUCCCAAAAGCCUCUCUCAGUUCGGAUCGAAGUCUGCAACCCGACUUCGUGAAGCUGGAUUCGCUAGUAAUCGCGCAUCAGCCAUGGCGCGGUGAAUACGUUCCCGGGCCUUGUACACACCGCCCGUCAAGCCAUGAAAGCCGGGGGUACCUGAAGUACGUAACCGCAAGGAGCUCCUAGG
This 1412-nucleotide ribosomal RNA is filed under the name bacterium NLAE-zl-P147. Its description in RNAcentral is "16S ribosomal RNA". It matches the Rfam family "Bacterial small subunit ribosomal RNA". The record is from RNAcentral.